AGCGAACGCUGGCGGCAGGCUUAACACAUGCAAGUCGAGCGGGCACUUCGGUGUCAGCGGCAGACGGGUGAGUAACACGUGGGAACGUGCCCUUCGGUUCGGAAUAACUCAGGGAAACUUGAGCUAAUACCGGAUACGCCCUUUGGGGGAAAGGUUUACUGCCGAAGGAUCGGCCCGCGUCUGAUUAGCUAGUUGGUGGGGUAAUGGCCUACCAAGGCGACGAUCAGUAGCUGGUCUGAGAGGAUGAUCAGCCACACUGGGACUGAGACACGGCCCAGACUCCUACGGGAGGCAGCAGUGGGGAAUAUUGGACAAUGGGCGCAAGCCUGAUCCAGCCAUGCCGCGUGAGUGAUGAAGGCCUUAGGGUUGUAAAGCUCUUUCGAC
RNAcentral lists this ribosomal RNA (384 nucleotides) under uncultured bacterium. RNAcentral describes it as "bacterial SSU rRNA". It matches the Rfam family "Bacterial small subunit ribosomal RNA", at positions 29 to 440 of the family's 1533-position model. The record is from RNAcentral.